RNAcentral lists this transfer RNA (72 nucleotides) under Phrynosoma platyrhinos (Desert horned lizard). RNAcentral's name for it is "tRNA-OTHER". Lineage: Eukaryota; Metazoa; Chordata; Lepidosauria; Squamata; Phrynosomatidae. The record is from RNAcentral.
GCCAGUGUGGCACAGUGGUUUGAGUGUUGAACUGAAACUCUGAAGACCAGGGUUUGAUUCCCAGUUGAACCA